GACGAACGCUGGCGGCGUGCUUAACACAUGCAAGUCGAGCGGUAAGGCCCUUUCGGGGGUACACGAGCGGCGAACGGGUGAGUAACACGUGGGUGACCUGCCUUUAGCUCUGGGAUAAGCCUGGGAAACUGGGUCUAAUACCGGAUAUGACCCUAUGGCGCAUGUUGUGGGGUGGAAAGCCUUGUGCGGCUAGGGAUGGGCCCGCGGCCUAUCAGCUUGUUGGUGGGGUGAUGGCCUACCAAGGCGACGACGGGUAGCCGGCCUGAGAGGGCGACCGGCCACACUGGGACUGAGACACGGCCCAGACUCCUACGGGAGGCAGCAGUGGGGAAUUUUGGGCAAUGGGCGAAAGCCUGACCCAGCAACGCCGCGUGAAGGAUGAAAUCCCUCGGGAUGUAAACUUCGCAAGAAUGGGGAAGAAUUAGUAGGGGUUAAUACCCUCUAUGAUGACGGUACCAUUUGUAAGCUCCGGCUAACUCCGUGCCAGCCGCCGCGGUAAU
Molecule: ribosomal RNA, 500 nt
Filed under: uncultured bacterium
Lineage: Bacteria
Description: bacterial SSU rRNA
Rfam family: Bacterial small subunit ribosomal RNA
Source: RNAcentral